RNAcentral lists this ribosomal RNA (460 nucleotides) under uncultured bacterium. Its description in RNAcentral is "partial 16S ribosomal RNA". It matches the Rfam family "Bacterial small subunit ribosomal RNA", at positions 338 to 795 of the family's 1533-position model. The record is from RNAcentral.
CCUACGGGAGGCAGCAGUGAGGAAUAUUGGUCAAUGGACGAGAGUCUGAACCAGCCAAGCCGCGUGAAGGAUGACUGCCCUAUGGGUUGUAAACUUCUUUUAUAAAGGAAUAAAACGAGGCACGUGUGCCUUUUCGCAUGUACUUUAUGAAUAAGCAUCGGCUAACUCCGUGCCAGCAGCCGCGGUAAUACGGAGGGUCCGAGCGUUAUCCGGAUUUAUUGGGUUUAAAGGGAGCGUAGAUGGGUUGUUAAGUCAGUUGUGAAAGUUUGGGGCUCAACCGUGGAUUUGCAGUUGAUACUGGCAGUCUUGAGUACAGGAGAGGUAGGCGGAAUUCGAGGUGUAGCGGUGAAAUGCUUAGAUAUAGCGAAGAACACCGAUGGCGAAGGCAGCUUACUGGACGGUGACUGACGUUGAGGCUCGAAAGCGUGGGUAUCAAACAGGAUUAGAUACCCGUGUAGUC